This 320-nucleotide ribosomal RNA is filed under the name uncultured eukaryote. RNAcentral describes it as "partial 18S ribosomal RNA". It matches the Rfam family "Eukaryotic small subunit ribosomal RNA", at positions 1470 to 1796 of the family's 1831-position model. The record is from RNAcentral.
CCCCUAGAUGUUCUGGGCCGCACGCGCGCUACACUGAACAGUUCAACAAGUCUUAACCUUGGCCGAUAGGUCUGGGUAAUCUUUGAACGCUGUUCGUGAUUGGGAUAGACCUUUGCAAUUAUGGGUCUUCAACGAGGAAUUCCUAGUAAACGCAAGUCAUCAGCUUGCAUUGAUUACGUCCCUGCCCUUUGUACACACCGCCCGUCGAACCUACCGAUUGAAUGGUCCGGUGAAAUCUCGGGACGGCGGCUUGGUCGCUUGCGUCCGACUGCUGAAACUUGAUUAAACCAUAUCAUUUAGAGGAAGGUGAAGUCGUAACA